Molecule: ribosomal RNA, 465 nt
Filed under: uncultured bacterium
Lineage: Bacteria
Description: partial 16S ribosomal RNA
Rfam family: Bacterial small subunit ribosomal RNA
Source: RNAcentral
CCUACGGGAGGCAGCAGUAGGGAAUCUUCCACAAUGGGCGAAAGCCUGAUGCAGCAACGCCGCGUGGGUGAAGAAGGUCUUCGGAUCGUAAAACCCUGUUGUUAGAGAAGCAAGUGCGUGAGAGUAACUGUUCACGUUUCGACGGUAUCUAACCAGAAAGCCAUGGCUAACUACGUGCCAGCAGCCGCGGUAAUACGUAGGUGGCAAGCGUUAUCCGGAUUUAUUGGGCUUAAAGGGAACGCAGGCGGUCUUUUAAGUCUGAUGUGAAAGACUUCGGCUUAACCGGAGUAGUGCAUUGGAAACUGGGGGACUUGAGUGCAGAAGAGGAGAGUGGAACUCGAGGUGUAGCGGUGAAAUGCGUAGAUAUAUGGAAGAACACCAGUGGCGAAAGCGGCUCUCUGGUCUGUAACUGACGCUGAGGUUCGAAAGCGUGGGUAGCAAACAGGAUUAGAUACCCGUGUAGUC